AACGAACGCUGGCGGCAUGCCUAACACAUGCAAGUCGAACGAGACCUUCGGGUAUCGUGGCGCACGGGUGCGUAACGCGGGGGAACCUGCCCUUACGUUAGCAAUAACUCCCCGUAAGGGGUGCUAAUUCCGGAUAGUGUCUUCGACCCCAAGAUUUAUCGACUUUUGCUGGGCGCGCGUGGGAUUAGCUAGUUAGGAGGGUAAAAGCCUACCAAGACGACGACCCAUAGCUGGUCUGAGGGGAUGAUCAGCCACCCUGGGACUGGGACACGGACCAGAAUCGUACGGUAGGCAGCAGUGGGGAAUAUUGGACAGUGAGGGAAAGUCUGAUACAGCAGUGCCGUGUGAUUGAUGAAGGCCUUAGGGUUGUAAAGCCCUUUUACCCGGGAUGAUAAUGACAGUACCGGGAGAAUAAGCUCCGGCUAACUCCGUG
Molecule: ribosomal RNA, 433 nt
Filed under: uncultured bacterium
Lineage: Bacteria
Description: partial 16S ribosomal RNA
Rfam family: Bacterial small subunit ribosomal RNA
Source: RNAcentral